UCGGACUUUACUGAACAAACAUCUAAUGGAAGGUGGAAGAAGAGACCAUCACACAAUGAUGGUGUUAUGGGGAACACAGGAGAUAAUAGUAGCAGAAUUUCACAAAAAAAUCAAAGAGGCAUUUGAAGUCUUUGACCAUGAGUCGAAUAAUACAGUGGAUGUGAGAUUCUUCCUAUUUUGCUCCCGACUGAUUUGAUCCUGCUGUGUGUCUCCCACUCCUUUGCGUCUACCUCCUCAUGGGUUCAGAUGCUUUGUGAUUCUGCACCUGCCUUCUCUCUCUGUGCCGUUCCUCUUCCCUCUCUCUUCCAUCUGUAUGUCUUGCUUUAAAACUCCCAAGGAAAA
This 342-nucleotide small RNA is filed under the name Pan troglodytes (chimpanzee). RNAcentral describes it as "processed transcript". Lineage: Eukaryota; Metazoa; Chordata; Mammalia; Primates; Hominidae. The record is from RNAcentral.